Molecule: ribosomal RNA, 492 nt
Filed under: uncultured bacterium
Lineage: Bacteria
Description: partial 16S ribosomal RNA
Rfam family: Bacterial small subunit ribosomal RNA
Source: RNAcentral
AUUGAACGCUGGCGGCAUGCUUUACACAUGCAAGUCGAACGGUAACAGGCCUUCGGGUGCUGGCGAGUGGCGAACGGGUGAGUAAUGCAUCGGAACGUGCCCAGAGGUGGGGGAUAACGCAGCGAAAGCUGUGCUAAUACCGCAUGUGAUCUGAGGAUGAAAGCGGGGGACCAAGCAGCAAUGUUUGGCCUCGCGCCUCUGGAGCGGCCGAUGUCAGAUUAGGUAGUUGGUGGGGUAAAGGCCUACCAAGCCGACGAUCUGUAGCUGGUCUGAGAGGACGACCAGCCACACUGGGACUGAGACACGGCCCAGACUCCUACGGGAGGCAGCAGUGGGGAAUUUUGGACAAUGGGCGCAAGCCUGAUCCAGCAAUGCCGCGUGCGGGAAGAAGGCCUUCGGGUUGUAAACCGCUUUUGUACGGAACGAAAAGGCUCUGGCUAAUACCUGGGGCUGAUGACGGUACCGUAAGAAUAAGCACCGGCUAACUACGUG